CUGGAAAUUAGUGAUCUACAGAAAAGUGACACGGCUUCCUACUACUGCUUGAAAGUCAACAGAACUAACAUGACCUUUUUAAAUGCAACAUUUAUUCAUAUCACAGGAUUAGGACGAAUAAGUGGUUUUGCCACAAAGCUGGUCUACAAACACUCGAUGAAACGUCCAGUCGUGUCCAGCAGAGAGACGAGGGCUCUUUGGUUUAUGCCGUGCCGACCAUCGUCACCAGGAAAGCCGGUAAAGCGAGGCAGACAAAUACGAGGGCAGCACAGGAAUUCAGCACG
Molecule: long non-coding RNA, 284 nt
Organism: Entelurus aequoreus (snake pipefish)
Lineage: Eukaryota; Metazoa; Chordata; Actinopteri; Syngnathiformes; Syngnathidae
Exons: 4
Source: RefSeq, a predicted model, not a curated record